Molecule: ribosomal RNA, 912 nt
Filed under: Pseudoselenophoma australiensis
Lineage: Eukaryota; Fungi; Ascomycota; Dothideomycetes; Dothideales; Saccotheciaceae
Description: LSU rRNA
Rfam family: Eukaryotic large subunit ribosomal RNA
Source: RNAcentral
GCAUAUCAAUAAGCGGAGGAAAAGAAACCAACAGGGAUUGCCCUAGUAACGGCGAGUGAAGCGGCAACAGCUCAAAUUUGAAAGCUGGCCUUCGGGUCCGCAUUGUAAUUUGUAGAGGAUGCUUUGGGGCAGCCGCCUGUCUAAGUCCCUUGGAACAGGGCGUCAUAGAGGGUGAGAAUCCCGUAUGUGACAGGACGUGGCACCCUAUGUAAAGCUCCUUCGACGAGUCGAGUUGUUUGGGAAUGCAGCUCUAAAUGGGAGGUAAAUUUCUUCUAAAGCUAAAUACCGGCGAGAGACCGAUAGCGCACAAGUAGAGUGAUCGAAAGAUGAAAAGCACUUUGGAAAGAGAGUUAAAAAGCACGUGAAAUUGUUGAAAGGGAAGCGCUUGCAAUCAGACUUGCCCCCGACUGUUCAGCCGGUCUUCUGACCGGUCCACUCAGUCGGGGACAGGCCAGCAUCAGUUUCGGCGGCCGGACAAAGGCCUGGGGAAUGUGGCUCUGCCUUCGGGGAGAGUGUUAUAGCCCCGGGUGUAAUACGGCCAGCCGGGACUGAGGUCCGCGCUUCGGCUAGGAUGCUGGCGUAAUGGUUGUAAGCGACCCGUCUUGAAACACGGACCAAGGAGUCUAACAUCUAUGCGAGUGUUCGGGUGUCAAACCCCUGCGCGUAAUGAAAGUGAACGGAGGUGGGAACCGCAAGGUGCACCAUCGACCGAUCCUGAUGUCUUCGGAUGGAUUUGAGUAAGAGCAUAGCUGUUGGGACCCGAAAGAUGGUGAACUAUGCCUGAAUAGGGUGAAGCCAGAGGAAACUCUGGUGGAGGCUCGCAGCGGUUCUGACGUGCAAAUCGAUCGUCAAAUUUGGGUAUAGGGGCGAAAGACUAAUCGAACCAUCUAGGAGCUGGUUCCUGCCGAAGUU